AGCGCAGGUGGGAAAGUAAGUCUGCUUUAAAAGUGCGGGGCUCAACCCCGUGAGGGAGUGGAAACUAUUUUUCUUGAGUGCAGGAGAGGAAAGCGGAAUUCCUAGUGUAGCGGUGAAAUGCGUAGAUAUUAGGAGGAACACCGAUGGCGAAGGCAGGUUACUGGGCAGUUACUGACGCUGAGGAGCGAAAGCAUGGGUAGCGAACA
Molecule: ribosomal RNA, 206 nt
Filed under: uncultured bacterium
Lineage: Bacteria
Description: partial 16S ribosomal RNA
Rfam family: Bacterial small subunit ribosomal RNA
Source: RNAcentral